GACGAACGCUGGCGGCGUGCCUAAUACAUGCAAGUCGAGCGGACGGAUGGGAGCUUGCUCCCAGACCGUCAGCGGCGGACGGGUGAGUAACACGUGGGCAACCUGCCUGUAAGACUGGGAUAACUCCGGGAAACCGGGGCUAAUACCGGAUAACUCUUUCCCUCACAUGAGGGAAAGCUGAAAGAUGGCAUCUCGCUAUCACUUACAGAUGGGCCCGCGGCGCAUUAGCUAGUUGGUGAGGUAACGGCUCACCAAGGCGACGAUGCGUAGCCGACCUGAGAGGGUGAUCGGCCACACUGGGACUGAGCCACGGCCCAGACUCCUACGGGAGGCAGCAGUAGGGAAUCUUCCGCAAUGGACGAAAGUCUGACGGAGCAACGCCGCGUGAGUGAUGAAGGUUUUCGGAUCGUAAAACUCUGUUGUCAGGGAAGAACAAGUACCGGAGUAACUGCCGGUACCUUGACGGUACCUGACCAGAAAGCCACGGCUAACUACGUG
Molecule: ribosomal RNA, 498 nt
Filed under: uncultured bacterium
Lineage: Bacteria
Description: partial 16S ribosomal RNA
Rfam family: Bacterial small subunit ribosomal RNA
Source: RNAcentral